RNAcentral lists this long non-coding RNA (1788 nucleotides) under Sus scrofa (pig). RNAcentral describes it as "lncRNA (ENSSSCG00065002321.1)". Lineage: Eukaryota; Metazoa; Chordata; Mammalia; Artiodactyla; Suidae. The record is from RNAcentral.
UUGGAGUUCCCAUCGUGGCACAGCGGUUAAUGAAUCCGACUAGGAACUGUGAGGUUGCGGGUUUGAUUCCUGGCCUUGCACAGUGGGUUAAGGAUCCGGCGUUGCUGUGAGCUGCAGUGUAGGUUGCAGCCGCAGCUCGGAUGCCGAGUUGCUGUGGCUGUGGUGUAGACUGGCAGCUACAGCUCCAAUUAGACCCCUAGCCUGGGAACCUCCAUGUGCUAGGACUUGUGUGGGGGAAAAGAUCAGGUUUUAAAAUAGAAACUCAUCCAUUAGCUAUGAGUGGGAAAAAACCUUUUAUCUGAUUUACUAAAUAGAAGGCUUAUUGCAAUUUGGAAUUGGCUUUUAUUUUUCUUUCUCAUGCUGGAGCCCAGCAGUGUGCAUUGCCUAGAGGAGGGAUAAAUAAACCCUUGCCUAGUGAACAAAAAAUUGAGUCAGUCUUGCUCCUUGUAUCCAACAGGUGGCAUUGUUGAUUUAUAAAUGGCUUUAGAACUGAUAAAGCAGCUAAGCAACUUCCACCAUCAGUUUUAUUGUUUUUGUUUUUUAAAUUACACCUAUUGUUCACAGCCUAGGGCAAACACAAACAGCACAAAUACCCCUCUUUUCAGAAGCACUUUGUUUUUGAGAAGAGAAAUAUGGCUGAUGAGUCAUUUCAAUGAUAGAGCAUUAGUAAAUGACAACAAAGAGCUAAUUUCCCCCAUUUUGAUGCCUCUGGAUGAACUGAGAAGGAAUUCUGUCUUCAAUUCUGUUAGACUUCAAUAAAACCAUGACUCAGACCAUUUGAAUUUAUACAUUUAUUCCCUGAAUCAUUUAUUUCUUGAAACAAUAGCUUUUACAGAAUUGCAGUUCUAUGCUUAUUAUACAAAGAUAGAAAAUGACAGAGCUACAAAAAGAAAAAUGAGACCCCAUCUUUAUUGCCCAGGAUUUUUACAAUCUAAUUACUAAGAUAAUAUACAUAUAAAUGCCACUAGUAACAAUCAGGGCAAGAUAAUUUUAUUUUGGGCCUAAUAGUCAAAAACUAACUUUUGGUAAGAAUUUACUGUGUGCUAGACACUGUUCUUAUCAUUUAUUUGAUACUCAUAUCAAUCCUAUGGAGUAGGUGCUUUUACUGUCCUCAUUGUAUAUAAGACCUGGGGGACUUAGGUGGCCACAUCAUGGCAAGUAGUGUGACUCCAUUUAUAAGAGCACCUGAUACUGAGUUCUCAUCAUAUGACUAGUGUUUAUGACCUUUGGAUGCAUUAUGUUAAUUUUCAUGUUAACAAUUUCAGCUAAGGAUCUUUAUGUUAUUUUUUUUCCUGCAGAAGUUUAACAGCCUUUCUUAACUAAACAUAAAUGCAUUUACCUCUCUGUUCCUUAAAAAUAAAUAGAGAUUUAAGUAAAUGCGAAUUUGUUAAUUUAACUUCAAACAUGACUAAGCUCCAGAAUGCCAGUAGUUUACUAAACAUCAUGAGAGUGUCCAUAUUUUCCCAUAAGGUAAUAAGUUCCAUUCCAGCAUUAUAGUAGAAAUUUAAAAUAUGUAUUUGAAAAUCUUCAUUGCCUCCUCUUCAGAUAAAAAGCCUGUUUUCAGCUCUGGGAAGAGUGGCCAAGUGACUAAUUAAGAUUACAGAAAUUUCAUCCAUUUUAAUUCACUAGUAUACCAUAAAGUCUUUAAAAGAGAGGCAGUACAUAUAUACAUAUGCUAAUCUUUUUCUAUCUUCAAGAAAAAAAACUCAUAAACUCUAGCAAUCUAUAGCCUUUCCUUCAAUCAAGGAAAAAAAAAAAAAAAAAAGGAAUGAAGAGUAAGUGUUGAGG